RNAcentral lists this ribosomal RNA (347 nucleotides) under uncultured bacterium. Its description in RNAcentral is "partial 16S ribosomal RNA". It matches the Rfam family "Bacterial small subunit ribosomal RNA", at positions 338 to 682 of the family's 1533-position model. The record is from RNAcentral.
CCUACGGGAGGCUGCAGUGAGGAAUAUUGGUCAAUGGACGCAAGUCUGAACCAGCCAUGCCGCGUGCAGGAAGACGGCUCUAUGAGUGGUAAACUGCGUUUGUACGAGGGUAAACGCAGAUACGCGUAUCUGUCUGAAAGGAACGUACGAAUAAGGAUCGGCUAACUCCGUGCCAGCAGCCGCGGUAAGACGGAGGAGUCAAGCGUUAUCCGGAUUUAUUGGGUUGAAAGGGUGCGUAGGCGGUCGGUUAAGUUAGAGGUGAAAUCCCGAGGCUCAACUUCGGAAUUGCCUCUGAUACUGUUCGGCUAGAGCGUAGUUGCGGUAGGCGGAAUGUAUGGUGUAGCGGU